GCACUGGUGGUUCAAUGGCAGAAUUCUCCCCUUUCAUGCAGGAGUCCUGGGUUCCAUUCCUGGCUAAUGCA
This 71-nucleotide transfer RNA is filed under the name Loxodonta africana (African savanna elephant). It matches the Rfam family "tRNA". Rfam says of the family: Transfer RNA (tRNA) molecules are approximately 80 nucleotides in length. The record is from Rfam by way of RNAcentral. Lineage: Eukaryota; Metazoa; Chordata; Mammalia; Proboscidea; Elephantidae.